GGUUGGGAAAGCAGCUCUAAAUGGGAGGAAAAUUUCUUCUAAAGCUAAAUAUUGGCGAGAGACCGAUAGCGCACAAGUAGAGUGAUCGAAAGAUGAAAAGCACUUUGGAAAGAGAGUUAAAAAGCACGUGAAAUUGUUGAAAGGGAAGCGCUUGCAAUCAGACUUGUUUAAACUGUUCGGCCGGUCUUCUGACCGGUUUACUCAGUUUGGACAGGCCAGCAUCAGUUUCGGCGGCCGGAUAAAGGCUCUGGGAAUGUGGCCUCCACUUCGGUGGAGGUGUUAUAGCCCAGUGUGUAAUACGGCCAGCCGGGACUGAGGUCCGCGCUCGGCUAGGAUGC
This 338-nucleotide ribosomal RNA is filed under the name Aureobasidium pullulans. Its description in RNAcentral is "partial large subunit ribosomal RNA". It matches the Rfam family "Eukaryotic large subunit ribosomal RNA", at positions 272 to 626 of the family's 3401-position model. The record is from RNAcentral. Lineage: Eukaryota; Fungi; Ascomycota; Dothideomycetes; Dothideales; Saccotheciaceae.